This is a long non-coding RNA of Bos taurus (domestic cattle), 1436 nucleotides long. Lineage: Eukaryota; Metazoa; Chordata; Mammalia; Artiodactyla; Bovidae. The record is from Ensembl.
GGUAGAUUAUCCGCAUCCCUCUGUACCCUCCCGGCCAGCUGAUAAGUUCCGAGACAAGGCCCACAUCUUCGUGAAGGCAGCGCGGAGCUUGACCCCUGACUCAGUGUAUGCUGCCUGGGGAGCAUUUCUCACUCCACGCCUUCCAUGCUGGCAGUCCCUCAGCUGAGUUGUCUGCUUCAUAGAGUUAACGGAGAAUUAAAGGAGGAAACACACGUAAAGCACUUAGAAGGGUGUUGAUCGAACCUAAGUUCAGUUCAGUCGCUCUGUCGUGUCCGACUCUUUGCGACCAAUGGACUGCAGCACCCCAGGCCCCCUGUCCAUCACCAACUCCGGAGCUUGCUCCGACUCAUGUCCACCGAGUCAGCAAGAAUGCAGCACAUGUGACCUGCAUUCCGUGCCUUGUACCCUUUGCACCCAGCAUCGGCUCUGGCACAGUGGAGGAGCUUUUGAAUGAAAUAAACGAUGAAUGGGGGCUUCUCUGGUGGCGCAGCUGGGCCCAGGAUUGCUUUUAUGAAUGAGGCUGCUGUUUAAAAAAGCUGCAUCACAGCCACCGUUUUGAGCGGGGCUUCUGAGGAUGACCCAAGAUGGUUCUGUGCCUCUCUCCCACCGCCUUAAAGUACCCUGGGGUCCUCUGACUUUCUCCCCAAGGGCCGCCUGCUGCUGCCUGGAGCCAUGCUCCCACUGCAGGAACAAGCCGGCGGGCUCCUCGCUGAGCAGCUCAGCUGCAGGCGUGGAAGCCGGUGUUCCUGUGAACUGUGUGGCCGUCUGAGAGGAGCAGCCAGCUGCAGGAGGCUGGCCGGCUGCUGGAGGAGGGACCCAGCACAGCGUGGGGCAAGGGUGCAGACCACACACCCGCCUGGCCUUCAGCUUUGCAAGUCCAGAAACAGCGGGUGCUCUAGGGCGCCUUCCACCUACUCCCACUCAUUAAGCCCACAGAGGCCCUUGCUUAUACUUCAUGCCAACUUCCAUUUAGAAUGGAAGCCAUCCCCCAGCGUCCCUUACCCAGGGACCCAGUCCCAGUGCCACGAUGCUUGUAAAGUGGAAGUGGUUGCUUGGUGAGAAUGGACUUGGAAGAGAGAGAGGAAAGCCUCAAGAAGGUAACUAUCCAAACCCUGGAAAAGCUCUGCAUCUUCUGGUCCCGUUCCUGAGCCACCUCCAGGGCUGAGACCACCACGUGUCUCAUACACCACAGCCACAUACACCUGCCCUGGAAAAGGCCGGGCCUGCUCUGCAACCAUUCAUUUCCAUUCAUGAUGACCUUGCCGAGGCUUUGGACACCAUAAAAGAUCAAGUGGGUUUUCAGUUUAGUCUGUAUGAUAGAAACUGCUUAUCUUCCUGAGUGUUUUUCCCACACUUAGAGUUCUGGGGACACUCUCCUGUUACCCUAUGCAUCACCUGUCCUAACUUCUUCCAGAAAGGCAAAGAGUGGGCUUAUG